RNAcentral lists this ribosomal RNA (494 nucleotides) under uncultured bacterium. RNAcentral describes it as "partial 16S ribosomal RNA". It matches the Rfam family "Bacterial small subunit ribosomal RNA", at positions 28 to 507 of the family's 1533-position model. The record is from RNAcentral.
GACGAACGCUGGCGGCGUGCCUAAUACAUGCAAGUAGAACGCUGAAGGAGGAGCUUGCUUCUCUGGAUGAGUUGCGAACGGGUGAGUAACGCGUAGGUAACCUGCCUGGUAGCGGGGGAUAACUAUUGGAAACGAUAGCUAAUACCGCAUAAUAGCAGUUAUUGCAUGAUAACUGUUUGAAAGGUGCAAUUGCACCACUACCAGAUGGACCUGCGUUGUAUUAGCUAGUUGGUGGGUAACGGCUCACCAAGGCGACGAUACAUAGCCGACCUGAGAGGGUGAUCGGCCACACUGGGACUGAGACACGGCCCAGACUCCUACGGGAGGCAGCAGUAGGGAAUCUUCGGCAAUGGACGGAAGUCUGACCGAGCAACGCCGCGUGAGUGAAGAAGGUUUUCGGAUCGUAAAGCUCUGUUGUAAGAGAAGAACGAGUGUGAGAGUGGAAAGUUCACACUGUGACGGUAUCUUACCAGAAAGGGACGGCUAACUACGUG